This 336-nucleotide unclassified non-coding RNA is filed under the name soil metagenome. Its description in RNAcentral is "partial contains 5.8S ribosomal RNA, internal transcribed spacer 2, and large subunit ribosomal RNA". The stretch from base 1 to 120 matches the Rfam family "5.8S ribosomal RNA", at positions 35 to 154 of the family's 154-position model. The record is from RNAcentral.
GAUGAAGAACGUAGUGAAACGCGAUAAGUAAUGUGAAUUGCAGAAUCCAGUGAAUCAUCGAAUCUUUGAACGCACAUUGCGCCCCUUGGUAUUCCAUGGGGCAUGCCUGUUCGAGCGUCAUUUGUACCUUCAAGCUUUGCUUGGUGUUGGGUGUUUGUCUCGCCUUUGCGUGUAGACUCGCCUUAAAAUAAUUGGCAGCCGGCGUAUUGAUUUCGGAGCGCAGUACAUCUCGCGCUUUGCACUCAUAACGACAGCGUCCAAAAGUACAUUUUACACUCUUGACCUCGGAUCAGGUAGGGAUACCCGCUGAACUUAAGCAUAUCAAUAAGCGGAGGA